AGUCAUGAUCAGGUCAUACUGGAGUAAGGUGAGCCUUUUACCUAACAGGACUGGUGUCCUUAUAAAAGACACAGAGACAGAGACACACAGGGAGUAUACCAUUUGAUAACAGAGGAAGAGAAUGGAGUAAUGCAGCUACAAGCGAAAGUACACCAAUGAUUGCUGGCUCCCACUAGAAGCUAGGAAGAGGCAGGAAGGAUUCUAUCCAGAGUCUCAGAAGAAGCAAGGCCCCACUGACAUCUUGAUUUCUGACUUCCAGACUCCAGAAAGCGAGAAAAUAUAUCUGUUGUUUUAAGCUAUCCAGUGUGAGGUACUUGGUUAUGGCAGCUUCAGAAAACUAAUAUAACGGCAAUUUCAAUUUCUACUUUAUCUUCCUAGCCCCAAGAGUACCAUGUGGAUAUUAGAGUACAGGAUUAUGUAGGCUCUCAAAUCCCUUCCAUGGUAAAACAAUGUUUGGGCUUCCAGCAGUGGCCAAGAAUUGCCAGACGCUUAUGAGCGCCUGCUGCGAGAUGCUUGUACAGUGAAUGCUCAAUAAAGUGGUGGCCAUUAUAACCGCAAGCAAUGAGGCUACAUAAAUAGUAAGAAACGAAAUACAACAAGGGGCAGCGGGAGCAAAGAGAGAAACAAGGGCAGCUGAGGAAGGAAGCCUCAAUUCCCCGGAGGACAUCCGCGGGCGGAGGAAAUGUGAAUCUGCAAGUCGUUCUCCCAGACCCCGCUGAACGAUUCCCGGCCCUUUCUCCACUCCCUACAGCCCUCGGACCCAGCAACAACCGGAUCCUGUGCAGGUCUUCCCUGAGUCCAACGCGAUUCUCCUGGAUAACGUCAACCAGCUGAGCGAUUCUGAGCCUGCGCGAAGCUCCUCGGCGCUUCCAGUAAUGUCACGCUGGUGCGUGGGGCGGGACUUCCUCUCACGCGCAGGAAACGAGAAGGGCUUUUCCGCCGGAAAGAGAGUGGAUUUACUAGGAAGGUGGGACGUUGGAGGGGCGGCCGCAUGGCGUGAUUACUGUCUCUGGCCACCGAGCAGAGCCAGUGACAGCAGCGUUCUGGUAGGCAGGCAGGCGUAUCAGGUUUCAGAGGAUGCGGCUGGGAACGGGAGUAGAGGUGAGGGGUCGUUGCAUCUGUCGCGGUGUGUAUCUUUUGGGGGUUCAGCGCCACCAGCGACUUGGGCCUCAUUCAUCGCGCUUACAAUUCUCCACCUCAUUUGAAGAACAAGCUUCGUAGCCCACGGAGCUGAGGUAUAUGAGCUCCCUGAAAGCACAAAGCAGUUAUUUCCAUCUUCAGAUCAUUCAGAGAUUAUGAAGGCACAAACCCUGCCUUCAAUUUGCUUAUAGUCAAGUGGAGCAGACACAAGUAAAUGAUUGCAGUAUAGCCACUUAAGUAAUCUAAAAGAGGUGGGGAGGCCACAGCUUGUAUGAAUGACUUUCUCAGGAGUUAUAAAGUGAUACAGACUUAUCAGCAGGUUGCAGGUGAACAUGGCCUUGAGGUAAAUCUGUCCCUUGCUGAAUACAGUUUCAGUAGAUUGUUUAUAGUAGUUUCAGGAAUUGAGAUUUUUUACAAAAAUACAAAAGUUUUGCUUGGUUCUGUUCUAGAUGUUUUCUUCUAAAUAAAUGAGAAAGAUGUUUCAACAAAGGCUCUUUAUGCUGAAUAAUUGUGAUGCUUGAAGUUGCUAAUCUGCUUUAAGUGGAUUUUAAAUGUCAGGCAAUUCUAGACAGUUUUUUCUUGGUCAAAUAAAAAUUUAAUUAAAACUUUA
Molecule: long non-coding RNA, 1750 nt
Organism: Pan troglodytes (chimpanzee)
Lineage: Eukaryota; Metazoa; Chordata; Mammalia; Primates; Hominidae
Exons: 4
Source: RefSeq, a predicted model, not a curated record